GCCAUAACCUUCACAUGUAUAGCAACAAAGCCACACACAAUCUCUUCAUAUGGUGUCAUAUAUUUUCCGAGGACAAAACAAAACUCAUCACCAUUAAUGCGGUGCUUUAAAACAAGGAAGUAGACAUUGUAAGGCACAAACGGAGAUAUUUCAACAUGCAACAGGAAAUUUGCUGAAAUUAAUAACGUAUUUUUGUAUUAAUGAUGUAGGCUACAGACAGACGUUCUCAAGCUAAAUGCAAAGGUUCGAUUAGCCUUGCUUGAAGUGUUUGGAGAAGCGCGCUCAAUUGGAUAACGAAUGACAAUCUCGCGCCUGUCAUCUCCGGAAACAGGUGUCAAAAUGAACAGCAGUAACAAGUUAUCGCUUUGCAAUAUGAUUCGGGCCGAGGUACGGCGGCAUGAAACUGUACAGAACAACAAAUCAGUUGGAGAGGGUCGACAACCAACAGCUUCGCUCUGGUUUAAAAGUUUACCUUCACAGCAUCCAAGGCAAUCAUAUCUACCUACGGGGAAGGAUGGCCAGCCACACAGAAGGUUGAUUUUUACUAAGGAGGAGAAGGAGGCCAUCCUGACAGAGAUGCAUGUGGUCAUUUUUGGAGUGAAGCGCAUGAAUGCCAAAAUCAUUUUACAUUACAUUUAAGUCAUUUAGCAGACGCUCUUAUCCAGAGCGACUUACAAAUUGGUGCUUUCACCUUAUGACAUCCAGUGGAACAGCCACUUUACUCUUCUACUGACGUGAAAUUGUCAAGGAUGUGGAUAGCUGGGUCAGUACCCUGUCUAGCCUGCCAGAAGUUUGAGGGCGAAGACUGUGGCACUGGAGAUAAAGCCCAUCAAAGUUGUUUCACCAUGGCACAUGAUUGGUUCACCAUGGCACAUGAUCGGGGUGGAACUCAUUGGACCCUUCACAAAAUCCAGGAAUGGAAACAGCUGGUGUCUUCCAGCGACCGGUCACUUUCCAAGUGGGUGGAGGCAAUGCCCAUUAAAGGAAGAGACGAGACUAGCGAUACCACCUCCAAGGCGAUAGUGGACUAUCUUCAGCACCCACGGUUCUCCUGAGGUCAUCUUGAGUGACCGAGGUCAUGAACGCUGGAACAAGGUUUGAUGGAUGGACAAACCAGACCAUCAAGUCCCUUGAUACCAGGAAGGCUGGGAGAACAACCUGAAGGUAAUUCUCUUUGCACACAACAGCAUCCAGGCCAAGUAUAGAUGGGAGCCGCAGCUGUUGUCUAAGGAAGGUAAACAAUGCAAUUGUAUAUAGAAUUAUUGCAUAUACUGUAGUCUUUCAAAUUUGUGAGUGACUUUUAGUGUUGUUUGUCUAUUGCUAUUUUUGUUUAACUUACUUUCAGAUCUCUGAAACCCCACCUGAUGUGGUGGAAGUUGUCGAUCCAGAUUAGAACACCUUCGAGUACCACCUUCAGGCACAGACUGAGAAGGAUGUUGUUACGACUUCUAGGAGUAGUGGGUGCGGAGUCAGGCGCAGAGAGCAGAGGGUAAAGGACAACUGUAUUUAUUCCGGAGAAAAGUAGGUCACGCCAAAACACCAGGCGCAUACAAUGACCGGCCCAAAAACAGGACACAAACAGUCCGGAGAAAUACAGAAAAUAUCACAUCCACAAAACGAACAGAGAAACAAGCCCACACAAAAGCCAGCGGGCUUACUGGGUUUAAAUAGCCCACAAUCACAACCUAAACCCAAAACAGGUGCAACUAAUCAGACACAACUAACUGAAACAGAAAAGGGGAUCGUUGGCAGCUAGUAGGCCUGGCGACGACAACCGCCGAGCACCGCCCGAACAGGAAGAGGCACCGUCUUCGGCGGGAUUCGUGACAGGUGUGGAGGUUUUUGACCAGGAAAAAUGAUUGCCCGCUGUUAAUUUAUGUUGUAACACUGCAGUAAAAUCCAUCAAAUUUUCUCACAGUAAGUGUAACCUGUGUGUUUGCUUGUUUACUUCUCUGUCUCCUACCUUUUUCAUUUUAACUCUGCUCCUGUUCUCCAGUACCUAGGGGUUCUGCCCAACACCCAGACGUGGAUCCACCUUAUGUCCUCCAUUACCAACCACCCUCCAACUUUUCAUUACAUCAUCUACAGCUACUGUUGUUGUCAUGUUGUCUGUUAAGAGUUUUCUUGCUCUUAUCAUUCUAGGCACAUAAUAUGUGAGAUCCACAGAUGAACUAAAAACACUAGCACUGCAAACACUCAGAACAAAGAGAGCAGCAGUGCCUGGACUUUGCUGUCUCUCUCUUCAAGUCCCCCUUCUGAGACUGGCUGCCUGUUGAGAACAAGUGACAGGCAGAAUUCCACACACCAGAAUUCAGUAUUUUAGUCUAUGAAUGCCAUGUGAGUGUACAAAAAAUGUGAAAAUAAAUUAAUGACAUAACUACCAAAAA
Oncorhynchus nerka (sockeye salmon) is the source of this 2387-nucleotide long non-coding RNA. RefSeq lists it as uncharacterized. The record is from RefSeq and is a predicted model, not a curated record. NCBI's taxonomy places the organism in Eukaryota, Metazoa, Chordata, Actinopteri, Salmoniformes, Salmonidae. The transcript has 6 exons.